GAAUGAACCGGCGAGUUACGAUUUGAUGCAAGGUUAAGCAGUAAAUGUGGAGCCGUAGCGAAAGCGAGUCUGAAUAGGGCGUUUAGUAUUUGGUCGUAGACCCGAAACCAGGUGAUCUACCCUUGGUCAGGUUGAAGUUCAGGUAACACUGAAUGGAGGACCGAACCGACUUACGUUGAAAAGUGAGCGGAUGAACUGAGGGUAGCGGAGAAAUUCCAAUCGAACCUGGAGAUAGCUGGUUCUCUCCGAAAUAGCUUUAGGGCUAGCCUCAAGUGAUGAUUAUUGGAGGUAGAGCACUGUUUGGACGAGGGGCCCCUCUCGGGUUACCGAAUUCAGACAAACUCCGAAUGCCAAUUAAUUUAACUUGGGAGUCAGAACAUGGGUGAUAAGGUCCGUGUUCGAAAGGGAAACAGCCCAGACCACCAGCUAAGGUCCCAAAAUAUAUGUUAAGUGGAAAAGGAUGUGGCGUUGCCCAGACAACUAGGAUGUUGGCUUAGAAGCAGCCAUCAUUUAAAGAGUGCGUAAUAGCUCACUAGUCGAGUGACACUGCGCCGAAAAUGUACCGGGGCUAAACAUAUUACCGAAGCUGUGGAUUGUCCUUUGGACAAUGGUAGGAGAGCGUUCUAAGGGCGUUGAAGCAUGAUCGUAAGGACAUGUGGAGCGCUUAGAAGUGAGAAUGCCGGUGUGAGUAGCGAAAGACGGGUGAGAAUCCCGUCCACCGAUUGACUAAGGUUUCCAGAGGAAGGCUCGUCCGCUCUGGGUUAGUCGGGUCCUAAGCUGAGGCCGACAGGCGUAGGCGAUGGAUAACAGGUUGAUAUUCCUGUACCACCUAUAAUCGUUUUAAUCGAUGGGGGGACGCAGUAGGAUAGGCGAAGCGUGCGAUUGGAUUGCACGUCUAAGCAGUAAGGCUGAGUAUUAGGCAAAUCCGGUACUCGUUAAGGCUGAGCUGUGAUGGGGAGAAGACAUUGAGUCUUCGAGUCGUUGAUUUCACACUGCCGAGAAAAGCCUCUAGAUAGAAAAUAGGUGCCCGUACCGCAAACCGACACAGGUAGUCAAGAUGAGAAUUCUAAGGUGAGCGAGCGAACUCUCGUUAAGGAACUCGGCAAAAUGACCCCGUAACUUCGGGAGAAGGGGUGCUCUUUAGGGUUAACGCCCAGAAGAGCCGCAGUGAAUAGGCCCAAGCGACUGUUUAUCAAAAACACAGGUCUCUGCUAAACCGUAAGGUGAUGUAUAGGGGCUGACGCCUGCCCGGUGCUGGAAGGUUAAGAGGAGUGGUUAGCUUCUGCGAAGCUACGAAUCGAAGCCCCAGUAAACGGCGGCCGUAACUAUAACGGUCCUAAGGUAGCGAAAUUCCUUGUCGGGUAAGUUCCGACCCGCACGAAAGGCGUAACGAUUUGGGCACUGUCUCAACGAGAGACUCGGUGAAAUCAUAGUACCUGUGAAGAUGCAGGUUACCCGCGACAGGACGGAAAGACCCCGUGGAGCUUUACUGUAGCCUGAUAUUGAAAUUCGGCACAGCUUGUACAGGAUAGGUAGGAGCCUUUGAAACGUGAGCGCUAGCUUACGUGGAGGCGCUGGUGGGAUACUACCCUAGCUGUGUUGGCUUUCUAACCCGCACCACUUAUCGUGGUGGGAGACAGUGUCAGGCGGGCAGUUUGACUGGGGCGGUCGCCUCCUAAAAGGUAACGGAGGCGCUCAAAGGUUCCCUCAGAAUGGUUGGAAAUCAUUCAUAGAGUGUAAAGGCAUAAGGGAGCUUGACUGCGAGACCUACAAGUCGAGCAGGGUCGAAAGACGGACUUAGUGAUCCGGUGGUUCCGCAUGGAAGGGCCAUCGCUCAACGGAUAAAAGCUACCCCGGGGAUAACAGGCUUAUCUCCCCCAAGAGUUCACAUCGACGGGGAGGUUUGGCACCUCGAUGUCGGCUCAUCGCAUCCUGGGGCUGUAGUCGGUCCCAAGGGUUGGGCUGUUCGCCCAUUAAAGCGGUACGCGAGCUGGGUUCAGAACGUCGUGAGACAGUUCGGUCCCUAUCCGUCGUGGGCGUAGGAAAUUUGAGAGGAGCUGUCCUUAGUACGAGAGGACCGGGAUGGACAUACCUCUGGUGUACCAGUUGUCGUGCCAACGGCAUAGCUGGGUAGCUAUGUGUGGACGGGAUAAGUGCUGAAAGCAUCUAAGCAUGAAGCCCCCCUCAAGAUGAGAUUUCCCAACUUCGGUUAUAAGAUCCCUCAAAGAUGAUGAGGUUAAUAGGUUCGAGGUGGAAGCAUGGUGACAUGUGGAGCUGACGAAUACUAAUCGAUCGAAGACUUAAUCAA
This 2308-nucleotide ribosomal RNA is filed under the name Staphylococcus aureus M1354. RNAcentral describes it as "bacterial LSU rRNA". It matches the Rfam family "Bacterial large subunit ribosomal RNA", at positions 613 to 2925 of the family's 2925-position model. The record is from RNAcentral. Lineage: Bacteria; Bacillati; Bacillota; Bacilli; Caryophanales; Staphylococcaceae.